The sequence is a ribosomal RNA, 1005 nucleotides long. It matches the Rfam family "Bacterial small subunit ribosomal RNA", at positions 64 to 1069 of the family's 1533-position model.
GAUCAGGCUGGACACCUCCUUAGAGUUUGAUCAUGGCUCAGGGUGCGAGCAGCUCCUUAGAGGUUGAACCUGCCCUUAGCUCUGGGAUAAGCCUGGGAAACUGGGUCUAAUACCGGAUAGGAGCGUCCACCGCAUGGUGGGUGUUGGAAAGAUUUAUCGGUUUUGGAUGGACUCGCGGCCUAUCAGCUUGUUGGUGAGGUAAUGGCUCACCAAGGCGACGACGGGUAGCCGGCCUGAGAGGGUGACCGGCCACACUGGGACUGAGACACGGCCCAGACUCCUACGGGAGGCAGCAGUGGGGAAUAUUGCACAAUGGGCGAAAGCCUGAUGCAGCGACGCCGCGUGAGGGAUGACGGCCUUCGGGUUGUAAACCUCUUUCAGUAGGGAAGAAGCGAAAGUGACGGUACCUGCAGAAGAAGCACCGGCUAACUACGUGCCAGCAGCCGCGGUAAUACGUAGGGUGCGAGCGUUAUCCGGAAUUAUUGGGCGUAAAGAGCUCGUAGGCGGUUUGUCGCGUCUGUCGUGAAAGUCCGGGGCUUAACCCCGGAUCUGCGGUGGGUACGGGCAGACUAGAGUGCAGUAGGGGAGACUGGAAUUCCUGGUGUAGCGGUGGAAUGCGCAGAUAUCAGGAGGAACACCGAUGGCGAAGGCAGGUCUCUGGGCUGUAACUGACGCUGAGGAGCGAAAGCAUGGGGAGCGAACAGGAUUAGAUACCCUGGUAGUCCAUGCCGUAAACGUUGGGCACUAGGUGUGGGGACCAUUCCACGGUUUCCGCGCCGCAGCUAACGCAUUAAGUGCCCCGCCUGGGGAGUACGGCCGCAAGGCUAAAACUCAAAGGAAUUGACGGGGGCCCGCACAAGCGGCGGAGCAUGCGGAUUAAUUCGAUGCAACGCGAAGAACCUUACCAAGGCUUGACAUGUUCUCGAUCGCCGUAGAGAUACGGUUUCCCCUUUUGGGGCGGGUUCACAGGUGGGUGCAUGGGUUGUCGGUCAGCUCCGUGUCGUG